This 433-nucleotide ribosomal RNA is filed under the name uncultured bacterium. RNAcentral describes it as "partial 16S ribosomal RNA". It matches the Rfam family "Bacterial small subunit ribosomal RNA", at positions 29 to 507 of the family's 1533-position model. The record is from RNAcentral.
AACGAACGCUGGCGGCAUGCCUAACACAUGCAAGUCGAACGAGAGCUUCGGGGCUAGUGGCGCGCGGGGGCGUAACGCGGGGGAAGCUGCCCAUAGGUUCGGAAUCACUCGCCGGAGGGGGUGCGAAGACCGGAGAAUGUCUUCGGCCCAAAGAUUUAUCGCGUUUGGGUGGGCCCGCGUUGGAUUAGCUAGUUGGUAGGGUAAAAGCCUACCAAGGUGACGAUCCAUAGCUGGGCUGAGAGGAUGAUCAGCCACACUGGGACUGAGACACGGCCCAGACUCCUACGGGAGGCAGCAGUGGGGAAUAUUGGACAAUGGGCGAAAGCCUGAUCCAGCAAUGCCGCGUGAGUGAUGAAGGCCUUAGGGUUGUAAAGCUCUUUUACCCGGGAUGAUAAUGACAGUACCGGGAGAAUAAGCUCCGGCUAACUCCGUG